AUGCUGAAAAACGUUAAACAAAAAAUUAUUAAUUAUAAGGAACUAGCAAAACAAUUAGAGGCAUGUGUGGAAAAUGAUUCAACAGAUAUUGAAGUGAUGCGAGAUAUAUAUACAAAAUGUAAAAAGGAUUUAGUGACACUGGAAAAAUUAACACAAGUAGCUUUUGAAGAUGGGAAUGCAUCCUUGUUCGAACAAUUAGUACAGGUCUCUACACAAAUUAGUAAGGCAAUUCGAAUGUUUGAAGCUUUAGAAAAAGACAAGAAAAUGAAUAAAUAUCAAACCUCUGAAAAAAAGGAUGAAACAAACGCAUAUAUAGUAACAAA
RNAcentral lists this long non-coding RNA (323 nucleotides) under Piliocolobus tephrosceles (Ugandan red Colobus). Its description in RNAcentral is "lncRNA (ENSPTEG00000028579.1)". Lineage: Eukaryota; Metazoa; Chordata; Mammalia; Primates; Cercopithecidae. The record is from RNAcentral.